UGCGAGUCGAGCGGAAACGACACUAACAAUCCUUCGGGUGCGUUAAUGGGCGUCGAGCGGCGGACGGGUGAGUAAUGCCUAGGAAAUUGCCUUGAUGUGGGGGAUAACCAUUGGAAACGAUGGCUAAUACCGCAUAAUGCCUACGGGCCAAAGAGGGGGACCUUCGGGCCUCUCGCGUCAAGAUAUGCCUAGGUGGGAUUAGCUAGUUGGUGAGGUAAUGGCUCACCAAGGCGACGAUCCCUAGCUGGUCUGAGAGGAUGAUCAGCCACACUGGAACUGAGACACGGUCCAGACUCCUACGGGAGGCAGCAGUGGGGAAUAUUGC
RNAcentral lists this ribosomal RNA (325 nucleotides) under uncultured Vibrio sp. Its description in RNAcentral is "bacterial SSU rRNA". It matches the Rfam family "Bacterial small subunit ribosomal RNA", at positions 56 to 367 of the family's 1533-position model. The record is from RNAcentral. Lineage: Bacteria; Pseudomonadati; Pseudomonadota; Gammaproteobacteria; Vibrionales; Vibrionaceae.